GCUGGGAAGAUACAAUGUUGGCAAACAGGGAGCUGGUUCCAGGAAAGAAGGGCACAUGAGCAAACAUGAUGGCCCCUUUAUGAGAGAUGGAAUAAAAAGGCCUACCUCAUUGGGCUCGUGUGGGUGAGGAGAACUGAAGAGUCUGAGAGCGCGGCACGAGCCAGAGGCUACGGAAAACACUGCCCUCCUACACUCCACCUUGGAGAGACCCAGAAAAGAACAAGCUUCAUUUGUAAAAAAGGAAAACAACUCAGGCAAUGGGGGUGGCUUAAAGGCACUCUACAGUGUGCAGAUGCCUUCCACUUCUUCCAUCUGCCCUGUCUCUCCAAGAACCCCUAUGGCCCCGGUCUCAGAACAGAGCUGAGUGCAGAAAUGAAAAUCUAUGGCUCUGUGUUCCAAAACGAUGAAGAAUUUCAAGAUGGUGGCAGUGGUAAAAUCUUUCUCCAGGAAAAAUCUGUCCUUGGCCCAAUGUGUAAACACUUGCUGAGGAACUUGGAAUAACUUGCAGUGUCUUGCAGUAUUGUGAAACCAGCAACUUGUUCACAAUUCUUCUGAAUUUCUUGGGAAAUUUGAAGUGGAGUACCUGUACCAACAUGAAAUGACACGAAUUUAAGUGACGCUCAACAACGAAAAGCAAAAAGAACCAAAGAGGAAGCAACUGAAACAACAUCUGGAUGUAUUUAAAAAUAUACAAUGCCUCCAAAAUCAGGUGUCAUUAAUGAAAAUUCUGAAGAAAUGCCACCGGACAUAGCCAACGCACCUACGCUGUUGUUAUUCAUUUCCUGCUUUUCACAGAAAACAAUUUUGUUGCAUGGAAGAUCGUGAACUUCAAAGGGCAGAGGGGAAACUGUCCCUUGGCCUCUACCCCUCCAAGGCCCCACUUUUUUGUCAACACUCCUUGGACGCAGCAGAAGUAUGAACAUAAUAUGGUCCUGAAUGAGGCUGAGUCUUUGGGCGCAGAAGACCCGGGUUAAUAAAAAUAGGAAGGUAAGAAAAGAAAAGAAAAAUCAAGACACAUCAUAGGACUAAAUUCCUAUUAUUUAUCCACUCAGGAUUGACCACCCCUUUGGGCCAGAUAGUUGUACCCCCAUGUACCAGGUGGGCACAUGAAGACACAAGAAGUGCUGUGAUGGUUCAUUUUGCACGUCACCUUGCGUGGAGUAUGCCAACUCAUUGUUUGGUCAAACACUAGUCUGGACAUGGUGGUAAAGGUAUUUUUUAGAUGAGAUUAACACUUAAAUCAGUAAAGCAGGUUACCCACCAUACUACGGGUGGGCCCUGUCCAAUCAGUUGAAGGCAUUAAGAACAAAGAUUGAGGUUUCCUAAAGAAGAUGGAAUUCUCCUUGAGACUACAACAUAGAAACCCUAUCUGAGUUUCCAGCCUGUUGCCCUGUGGAAUUCAAACUCAGGACUCCGGUCUAUGACAUUAACCCUCACUUAACUUUUCAGCCUGCCAGCCUGCCCUAUGGAUUUCGGACUUGCCAGCCACACAAUUCCUUAAAAUAAAUCUCUCCGUCUCU
RNAcentral lists this long non-coding RNA (1520 nucleotides) under Homo sapiens (human). Its description in RNAcentral is "HSALNT0382008". The record is from RNAcentral. Lineage: Eukaryota; Metazoa; Chordata; Mammalia; Primates; Hominidae.